AUUGACAAGUCGUAUGACAAGAUGUUUUGAACAAGUAGCACAAAUUAACGUCUAUAAAGUGCUAUUUUGCUUGUAUAACUUAUCCUUGUUAUUGAUAAUGACAUAUUUUGCUAUGAUUUCAGUAGUGAAUUGAAAGAAAAUGUCAACUCUUUCUUAGCUUUAUACCUUCCUUAUGCCUCAAUUUGUUAAGUUUCUAAGUAGCUACAUCUUUAGUUGAAUUCUUUUAAAUUGCUUCACUAAUCCCCACUUUUUGGUUGUUAGAUCAUGUACAUGAAGCUUGUUGGCCAAACCGACGAAUGGAAGAACCACAGAAGCAAGAAUGAAUGUAAAAGAGGAAAUAUUGAGCAA
Molecule: long non-coding RNA, 348 nt
Filed under: Vigna radiata
Lineage: Eukaryota; Viridiplantae; Streptophyta; Magnoliopsida; Fabales; Fabaceae
Description: long non-coding RNA (VRAD_LNC001656)
Source: RNAcentral